Molecule: ribosomal RNA, 424 nt
Filed under: Verrucomicrobiota bacterium
Lineage: Bacteria; Pseudomonadati; Verrucomicrobiota
Description: Verrucomicrobia bacterium partial 16S ribosomal RNA
Rfam family: Bacterial small subunit ribosomal RNA
Source: RNAcentral
UGAGGAAUAUUGGUCAAUGGACGCAAGUCUGAACCAGCCAAGUAGCGUGCAGGAUGACGGCCCUAUGGGUUGUAAACUGCUUUUAUAUGGGGGUAAAGUGGGGAACGUGUUUCCUUUUGCAGGUACCAUAUGAAUAAGGACCGGCUAAUUCCGUGCCAGCAGCCGCGGUAAUACGGAAGGUUCGGGCGUUAUCCGGAUUUAUUGGGUUUAAAGGGAGCGUAGGCCGUUUGGUAAGCGUGUUGUGAAAUGUAGGAGCUCAACUUCUAGAUUGCAGCGCGAACUGUCAGAAUUGAGUGCGCACAACGUAGGCGGAAUUCAUGGCGUAGCGGUGAAAUGCUUAGAUAUCAUGAAGAACUCCGAUUGCGAAGGCAGCUUACGGGAGCGAAACUGACGCUGAAGCUCGAAGGUGCGGGUAUCGAACAGG